Molecule: ribosomal RNA, 546 nt
Filed under: Streptomyces sp. WAC 01420
Lineage: Bacteria; Bacillati; Actinomycetota; Actinomycetes; Kitasatosporales; Streptomycetaceae
Description: bacterial SSU rRNA
Rfam family: Bacterial small subunit ribosomal RNA
Source: RNAcentral
UUUGAUCCUCGGCUCAGGAUGAACGCUGGCGGCGUGCCUAAUACAUGCAAGUCGAACGAAACUUCUUUAUCACCGAGUGCUUGCACUCACCGAUAAAGAGUUGAGUGGCGAACGGGUGAGUAACACGUGGGCAACCUGCCCAAAAGAGGGGGAUAACACUUGGAAACAGGUGCUAAUACCGCAUAACCAUAGUUGACCGCAUGGUAACUAUGUAAAAGGUGGCUAUAGCUACCGCUUUUGGAUGGACCCGCGGCGCAUUAGCUAGUUGGUAAGGUAANGGCUUACCAAGGCAAUGAUGCGUAGCCGAAUUGAGAGGUUGAUCGGCCACAUUGGGACUGAGACACGGCCCAAACUCCUACGGGAGGCAGCAGUAGGGAAUCUUCCACAAUGGGCGAAAGCCUGAUGGAGCAACGCCGCGUGAGUGAAGAAGGUUUUCGGAUCGUAAAACUCUGUUGUUNGAGAAGAACGAUCGUGAGAGUAACUGUUCACGUUUUGACGGUAUCUAACCAGAAAGCCACGGCUAACUACGUGCCAGCCGCCGCGGUA